This is a long non-coding RNA of Amblyraja radiata (thorny skate), 394 nucleotides long. RefSeq lists it as uncharacterized. The transcript is spliced from 3 exons. The record is from RefSeq and is a predicted model, not a curated record. NCBI's taxonomy places the organism in Eukaryota, Metazoa, Chordata, Chondrichthyes, Rajiformes, Rajidae.
CGAUCCCAGAUAUUUAGACUCAAUGUCUUUGGGAUUUGCGAGAAAUAAAGCAAGGACAGCAUGGAACAAGCGACACAACAAGAAGUUGAUAGAAAACUCCUAAUUCGAAGCAGGAGCAAACGAGUUGCAGGAUGGUCAAGGGACUCCAAAAAGAGACGUUGACAAGGAGUAAGGAGCAGAAGUGAACAAGAGACACAACAAGAAAGACUGAACCUCUUGAGGAUCUCCGAAAAAUAACGGAAAUUUGCAUGGAACAAGAGACACACCAAUAAGUUGACAAAAUACAGCCAAAACGAGAUGGGAGCAAAUGUGUUGCAGGAUGGUCAAGGAACACCGCAAAUAGACGUUGAGAAGCAGUAAGGGGCAGAAGGAAACCAGAGACACAACAAGAAAG